Long non-coding RNA from Salvelinus fontinalis (brook trout), 255 nucleotides. RefSeq lists it as uncharacterized. The record is from RefSeq and is a predicted model, not a curated record. NCBI's taxonomy places the organism in Eukaryota, Metazoa, Chordata, Actinopteri, Salmoniformes, Salmonidae. The transcript is spliced from 3 exons.
AAUGCAGCAGAAAGUCUCUGAAACCCUUCGAGCGUUACAAUGAGGACCCUAAGCUUUUACCUUACCUUCAUCCUUCAGUCGUCUUUGACCCCAAAGCCUUAUGUUGCAGGAGUGGACUGGGAAACUCAGAAUGUGGCAUUUGAGUCCAAUACAACUGAUAGGUACAUACUGCCACCAACUGAAAAGACUCCCCAGGAUCUUGUCUCCUCACUAACAUACUCAGAUACUGCAUUAUCCAGUGCUGAUUUACAUGAG